Molecule: non-coding RNA, 1849 nt
Organism: Tetranychus urticae (two-spotted spider mite)
Lineage: Eukaryota; Metazoa; Arthropoda; Arachnida; Trombidiformes; Tetranychidae
Source: RefSeq, a predicted model, not a curated record
AUUUUAUCGAUUCUAUUCUAAUUCUUGUUCAAUUCAAUGGACCAUUCAAAUGUUAAUCAAAAAGUCUAAAGUAUUUUUUACCGGCUCAACCAAAUGUCCGUUAAAAGGUACAGUCGAAGGUUAAAUUUUUAUUCAAUAUCAAGUUUAAAAGUGAAAAAAAGCUUUAUUACAAGAUAAUUGAAGCUAAAUAAAUGUCUACUUUUUCAGCUAUUUUAUCAAUCGUGUGAGAAAGUAGGUUGAUCAAUUGAUGAUGGGAAUUUACUAGAUUGUCCGAUUUAAUUAAUUGUAUCCUCGUGUGAUCUAAGUCAGAGAGCUUUGGUAAUUUUUUUAUAUCCCCUCAUUGCAACUCAGCUGAUGAAAAGCUUUCCCUCUUUUUUCACUCGCGACGCAAUAAGCUUUGUCUUGAGCCUUUAUCAUUGUCUUGUUUUGGUAUUUUUGUUUUUUUUUGUGUUUCAUUCUUGAUCUUGUUUUGUAUUAUUUCAUCUAAUUGUUACCCAUUUAUGUGACUAUCGUGAGAAAUCAACAUUUAAGACUAUUAUUUACAAUUUACGCGUUAAAUCUGCUUCUUUUUUUACUCAAAUCUCGCCUAUUCUUUUUGAAUGAACAUAACUUUUUUUAUACAUUGGUGCUCCUAGUAAAUUUUGGGUUGUUUGGGUUAUUUGUCGUCACUUUUACAUCCACAUGCAUUGGUUUGUAUCAUCAUUAUGUUUGAGACUGUCCUUCAUUUUUGGCUCUUAUCCAUAAUAGGUUGACUCUACAAAUUGCUUUACCUGAAGUAAAACUCAAUCUCGUUUACCUCGAUCUCCCAUUGUUUUUUUUACCUGUGGAUACAUCUGUCGUUAAUAUCAAUGGCGAACAAGUUGUCUCAUCGUUUUAAAGUCAAUUUUUUGCUCUGCUUUCUGGGUUCAAUGCAACAAUCAACUAACUAGGAUUCAAUGAUUCAAGAAAGUCACCGAGUACAUGAUAGAUUACUGGUAAACUUCCGGAUGAUUACUAUUGACUCGUUGAUAUCAAUUUGGAAACACAGGCAAAGAUGAAGAUUGAUUUGGUGUUGCUGAUGAUAAUCAUUACCAUAAUUACCAUAAAGCGAUGUAAAAUGCGAAUGUGAAACACAAUUUGAUUGAUUCAUCAAGAUAAUGUUUAACCAUGUUCAUUGUUUUCAACUGGUCUUCAAUUGAAUUGGUUAAGCUUUAAAUGUUGAUUGUUUCAAUGAUUCAUUUGCUGUUUAUUUUUCAUUCAAGCAUUUGUUGCAUUGGUUGCAAUCGCCUUUACUGAUUAUCUAUGAGAUCCACCAUCCCGGGCCUGGCAUUUCAAAGUAAUAUUGUAAUUCAACGGAAUGAUCAUGGAAGUGACUCGUGUCCAGAGAUUAUCAAUAUUAUCCUUAAAAUCACAAGUUCAGUUGAUUAAAGUUCAAGUUUGAGCUAAGAAAUAAUCGUAAACCUUCUGCACAUUCCUUAACCCAAAGACUAAUGAUGAUUUUGACUUUGAUUUGAUUGAAUCUCGACAGAGAAAAGACAGGAUUUUCCAAGUAAUAACAAUGAUGACUGUGGCGAUUGUGGAGCUAAAAUCUAAUAUCAAAUUGGAUUGGACCCGUCGAUUCAAAGUCAAGACACUUUAAGAUGAGAUUAAAAUUGCGAGAUUUUUUGAUAUCUAUUAAAGAGUACAAUGUUGAUUACCAGCCAAUAUGUUUGCUAACCCAAAAACUGAAUGGUUAUGAAUGGAUAACCAAUGAAGCAGAGAAACCAGAAAAGUUAAACCAUUUCCUCGUUUUAUUAUUAACACAAUUUGCUUGAUUUUACAAUACAUCAAAUAUAUCUUUGACCAGUAUGGUCGAAUCAUCAUAGUGUAA